GACGAACGCUGGCGGCGUGCCUAAUAUAUGCAAGUCGAACGCUUUUUCUUUCACCGGAGCUUGCUCCACCGAAAGAAAAAGAGUGGCGAACGGGUGAGUAACACGUGGGUAACCUGCCCAUCAGAAGGGGAUAACACUUGGAAACAGGUGCUAAUACCGUAUAACACUAUUUUCCGCAUGGAAGGAAGUUGAAAGGCGCUUUUGCGUCACUGAUGGAUGGACCCGCGGUGCAUUAGCUAGUUGGUGAGGUAACGGCUCACCAAGGCAACGAUGCAUAGCCGACCUGGGGGGGUGAUCGGCCACACUGGGACUGAGACACGGCCCAGACUCCUACGGGAGGCAGCAGUAGGGAAUCUUCGGCAAUGGACGAAAGUCUGACCGAGCAACGCCGCGUGAGUGAAGAAGGUUUUCGGAUCGUAAAACUCUGUUGUUAGAGAAGAACAAGGAUGAGAGUAAAACGUUCAUCCCUUGACGGUAUCUAACCAGAAAGCCACGGCUAACUACGUGCCAGCCGCCGCCGUAA
Molecule: ribosomal RNA, 523 nt
Filed under: uncultured bacterium
Lineage: Bacteria
Description: partial 16S ribosomal RNA
Rfam family: Bacterial small subunit ribosomal RNA
Source: RNAcentral